GGAUUAGAUACCCUGGUAGUCCUUGCCGUAAACUAUGUAUACUUGGUGUAGUCGGACUCAACCCUGACUGUGCCGAAGCUAACGCGUUAAGUAUACCGCCUGGGAAGUACGCUCGCAAGGGUGAAACUCAAAAGAAUUGACGGGGACCCGCACAAGCAGUGGAGCAUGUGGUUUAAUUCGAUGCAACGCGAAGAACCUUACCUAGGCUUGACAUGUAGAUGACGAUAUCAGAGAUGAUAUUUCCCUUCGGGGCAUUUACACAGGUGCUGCAUGGCUGUCGUCAGCUCGUGCCG
RNAcentral lists this ribosomal RNA (293 nucleotides) under uncultured bacterium. RNAcentral's name for it is "partial 16S ribosomal RNA". It matches the Rfam family "Bacterial small subunit ribosomal RNA", at positions 775 to 1067 of the family's 1533-position model. The record is from RNAcentral.